AACGAACGCUGUCGGUAUGCUUAACACAUGCAAGUCGGACGGACUAAUUAGGGCUUGGUCCAAUUAGUUAGUGGCAGACGGGUGAGUAACACGUGGGAAUCUGCCCAUCAGUACGGAGUAACUUUUAGAAAUAAAAGCUAAUACCGUAUAUUCUCUACAUAGUAAAGAUUUAUCGCUGAUGAAUGAGCCCGCGUCAGAUUAGGUAGUUGGUGGGGUAACGGCUCACCAAGCCGGCGAUCUGUAGCUGGUCUGAGAGGAUGAUCAGCCACACUGGGACUGGGACACGGCGCAGACUCCUACGGGAGGCAGCAGUGGGGAAUAUUGGACAAGGGGCGAAAGCCUGAUCCAGCAAUACCGAGUGAGUGAUAAAGGCGCUAGGGUUGUAAAGCUCUUUUAGCAAGGAAGAUAAUGCCGUUACUUGCAGAAAAAGCCCCGGCUACCUCGGU
This 446-nucleotide ribosomal RNA is filed under the name uncultured bacterium. RNAcentral's name for it is "partial 16S ribosomal RNA". It matches the Rfam family "Bacterial small subunit ribosomal RNA", at positions 29 to 506 of the family's 1533-position model. The record is from RNAcentral.